Molecule: ribosomal RNA, 617 nt
Filed under: Entoloma calobrunneum
Lineage: Eukaryota; Fungi; Basidiomycota; Agaricomycetes; Agaricales; Entolomataceae
Description: eukaryotic LSU rRNA
Rfam family: 5.8S ribosomal RNA (bases 211-364)
Source: RNAcentral
CAUUAUUGAAUAAACUUGGUUGAGUUGUUGCUGAUCCUUCGGGGUAUGUGCACGCUCACUCCAUUUUUAACCACCUGUGCACCUUGUGUAGAUCUGAAUACUUGAGAGUGACCAAUAUCGUUGCUCUUGUAUUUAGGUCUAUGUUUUUAUAUACUCCAAAAAUGUAUUAGAAUGAUGUGACUAGGCCUUCGUGCCUUUACAAAUUAAAACAACUUUCAACAACGGAUCUCUUGGCUCUCGCAUCGAUGAAGAACGCAGCGAAAUGCGAUAAGUAAUGUGAAUUGCAGAAUUCAGUGAAUCAUCGAAUCUUUGAACGCACCUUGCGCUCCUUGGUAUUCCGAGGAGCAUGCCUGUUUGAGUGUCAUGAAUUUCUCAACCUAUCUAGCUUGUAUAAAGAUAGAUAGGCUUGGAUUUGGAGGUUGCUGGCUUCUCAGAAACCGGCUCCUCUCAAAUGUAUUAGCAGAACCAUUGCUGAUUAUUCUCGGUAUGAUAAUUAUCUAUACCAACGAAGAAUCGGUUUCCUUAAUUGGAGGGGUUUAGCUUUCUAACAAAGUCUGAAAAGACAAUUCUUGACAAUUUUGACCUCAAAUCAGGUAGGACUACCCGCUGAACUUAAG